CAAGGAUCUAAUAGCCCUCAAAAGUAUGCUACCAGCUUGCUCUAUCUCUCAUAUCAAAAUAGAACAAAAUCAAGCUGCAGACUGGCUUUCUAAAUAUGCUCUAACAGGUAGUUUUUGUUUGGCCUUGGAGGAUAUGAUUCUAUGUUCCUUAGCUUAAAUUUUGCAGAAUGACAAAUUUCACAAUGCUCUUUUCAUCCAGUAAGCCAGCAUAUAUGCCUUUCAUUACCAAUCUUCAUUCAUGUAGGCAUGUUGUUCUCUUUAAGAAAUAGGUUUGUAUCAUGGCAUGCUCUAUGGCACAUCACA
This 303-nucleotide long non-coding RNA is filed under the name Elaeis guineensis (African oil palm). RNAcentral describes it as "long non-coding RNA (EGUI_LNC039629)". The record is from RNAcentral. Lineage: Eukaryota; Viridiplantae; Streptophyta; Magnoliopsida; Arecales; Arecaceae.